GUUGUUCAGAACAUAGAAUGCAGUCUCAAGAGCAGAAUCACAAAAAGAGAUCUACAGACUCGCAAACCCCAUCAAGACUGAACCAUGUCUAACAGAGUUCGAUUCUUCUUUUCUAACACUCCAUUAUGUUGUGGUGUCUUCAAAGGGUUUCAUUAUGAGAGAAUCCCAUUCUCUCUUAGAUAUAUCAAAAAUUUAUUAAAAAAAUAUUUACCUCCUCGGUC
RNAcentral lists this long non-coding RNA (221 nucleotides) under Elaeis guineensis (African oil palm). Its description in RNAcentral is "long non-coding RNA (EGUI_LNC024477)". The record is from RNAcentral. Lineage: Eukaryota; Viridiplantae; Streptophyta; Magnoliopsida; Arecales; Arecaceae.